UACCCUUAUUUGCCAGCGAUUCGGUCGGCCAACUAUAAGGGCACUGCCGGUGAUAAACCGGAGGAAGGUGAGGACAUCUCCAAGUCAUCAUGGCCCUUACGCAUAGGGCUACACACGUGCUACAAUGGAGAAUACAGACGGACGCUAAGCCGCGAGGUGGUGCCAAUCCUAGAAAAUUCUUCGUAGUCCGGAUUGGUGUCUGCAACUCGACUCCAUGAAGUCGGAAUCGCUAGUAAUCGCGAAUCAGCAUGUCGCGGUGAAUACGUUC
RNAcentral lists this ribosomal RNA (268 nucleotides) under uncultured Gammaproteobacteria bacterium. RNAcentral's name for it is "partial 16S small subunit ribosomal RNA". It matches the Rfam family "Bacterial small subunit ribosomal RNA", at positions 1106 to 1373 of the family's 1533-position model. The record is from RNAcentral. Lineage: Bacteria; Pseudomonadati; Pseudomonadota; Gammaproteobacteria.